CCUACGGGAGGCAGCAGUGAGGAAUAUUGGUCAAUGGACGAGAGUCUGAACCAGCCAAGUAGCGUGAAGGAUGACUGCCCUAUGGGUGGAAAACUUCUUUUAUAAAGGAAUAAAACGAGGCACGUGUGCCUUUUUGCAUGUACUUUAUGCAUACGGAUCGGCUAACUCCGUGCCAGCAGCCGCGUUAAUACGGAGGAUUCGAGCGUUAUCCGGAUUUAUUGGGUUUAAAGGGAUCGUAGAUGGGUUUUUAAGUCAGUUGUGAAAGUUUGCGGCUCAACCGUAAAAGUGCAAUUGAUACUGGCAGUCUUGAGUGGGCGAGAAGUAUGCGGAAUGCGUGGUGUAGCGGUGAAAUGCAUAGAUAUCACGCAGAACUCCGAUUGCGAAGGCAGCAUACCGGCGCCCUACUGACGCUGAGGCACGAAAGUGUGGGUAUCGAACAGGAUUAGAUACCCGUGUAGUC
Molecule: ribosomal RNA, 460 nt
Filed under: uncultured bacterium
Lineage: Bacteria
Description: partial 16S ribosomal RNA
Rfam family: Bacterial small subunit ribosomal RNA
Source: RNAcentral